CAAUAAGAUAUUUUGAGAGAGAUCACUUUCAAAUAACUUUUUUUAUAUAUACAGUUGACCCUUGAAAAACAUUGGUUUGAACUGUGUAGGUCCACUUAUACGUGAGGGUUUUUUUUUUUUUAUAUAAGUACAGUACAGUAAAUGUAUUUUCUUUUCCUUAUGAUUCUCUUAACACUUUCUUUUCUCUAGCUUGCUUUAUUGUAAGAAUACAGUAUGUAAUAAUACACAAAAUAUACAUUAAUUGACUUUUCUCGGUAAGGUUCUGGUCAACGCUAAGCUAUUAGCUAAAUAUUGGGGGAGUCAAAAGUUAUAUGCGAAUUUUUGACUAGGUGGUCAGCACCCCUAAUCCUGUUGUUCAGGGACUAAGUAUAUUGUUAUAAUUGCUCUAUUUUAUUAUGAUUUAUUGUUGUUAAUCUACUGUCACUAAUUUAUAAAUUAAACUUAAAAAAAUUAAACUUUAUCAUAGGUAUGUAUGUAUAGGAAAAAAACAUAUAAAGUGUGGUACUAUCUGUGGUUUCAGGCAUCCACGGAGUUGUUAGAACUUACUCCCUCUAGGUAAGGGGAGACUAAUGUAUUUUAAGUAAGAGAGAGUUAUGAUAAGAUUCAUACUUUACAAGGAGGCUGCUUGUGAUCCUCUGAAAACAUUAAGGAAAUGAGACUCCAGGAAGAGAAAGAAGGUAAGAGGCUAUUGCAGUAAUCCAAAUGAAAGGUGAUGGUGGCUGAGACCAGCCUAACCAUCUUUCAGUUUCUCCUACACAUCAUAAUUAUCCUCCAUUUUGUUUCUAACACAUACAAUUGUGAGAAGGGUUAUCACACAGACUGUUCCUUCUGGCUGGAACACAUAUGCUCCCCCAUUUUCAACCACCAGUUCUUACAAGCUUUAAAGUCUUAGCCUAAAUGUCACUUCCUUAGGUAGCCUUCUUUGAUACCCUGAUCCCUCCUUAGCACUGAACAUAAUUAUAAAUGAUAAAUUAUUUAAUUACAAAUUAAGCGGUUAUUUAUAUGGUUAUUGUUUGGAUAUAUGCCUCACCCACUGGACUCUAGAUUUCAUGAGAAAUGUGUGAGUGAGUGGGGAGGGAGAGAUGUGAAGAGAUUCAAGAGUGGAUACAUAGAAUGUUAUGUUUAAAUGUUUGUGAAGAUAGAGCAAGAAAAAAAAUCCAAGAUUAAAUGGAGUUUCCCAUUUAAACCCUUGAGUUGAUGCUGGUGGCAUUCCUUGAGCUAGGAGACAGAGGCAGAGAAAUAGGUUAAGUGGAAGACGUAAUCAUGAGUUCAGUUUGGGAUAUGUAGUGGGUACAAAUCUUAAACCACAAAAUCCAAUGGGAAAGAAAUACAACUUGGCGAAGUUUCCAUAAUAAGCUCUAUAUCCCAUUGUGGGUUCUUUUUUUUUAAGUUUAUUUAUUUAUUUUUGAGAGAGACAGACAGUGUAAGCAGGGUGGGGUGUGGGGCAGAGAGAAGAAGAGAGAGGAUCCCAAGCAAGCUCCAUGCUGUCAGCACAAACCUUGAAGCAAUGCUCGAACUCAUGAAACCGUGAGAUCAUGACCUGAGCCGAGAUUAAGAGUAAGCCACUUAAUCAACUGAGCCAUCCAGGCACCCCUAUUAACUCCAGGCACCAUUGUUAACUUCAGUCAUCUCCAGCACUCACUCAUGACAACUAAGGCUACUGUUAUCUUAGAACUAUUUUCUUUACUCUUGGAGUUACUUUGCAUGUAUUUUAUUUGUGUCUUUUCCUCCUUGAUUUUCUUUCCUUUUUCUUUCUAAUUUUCUCUUUUUCCAAGCCGUAAUGUUAUUAAAGCAAUGUUUGUUACUGCUGUUUGACAUCACUAUCAAGAUUACAACAAAAUAAAUGUGUUUAUAAAUUAAAACAUGAAUGAUUUUCACUAGAAAUAAGGAGAUGAUUUUGAAGGGGAAAAAUUUAUUAAAUACUGGAAUGGAUAACCAAGGAGUAUAAGGGAUUGCCAUCUGGUAAAUCCUCAAACUUGGAAGGAGUUUAAAGAGGACUGUUUUUGUAAAACAAAACAAAACAUGUAUAUGUGUGUGUGUGUAUGUAUUCGUAUAUAUAUUCAUAUAUAAGCAAAUGUAAGCAAAUAAAUCCCUUUAUUGUUUAUUAGUUUGUGUUGGGUUUCUGUCCCUUUCUGUCCAAGGAGUACCUACAAAUUCAGGGUCUUUGUCCUGUAAGGUGAUUGAUACUAUGCAAUGUUUUCUUUCAUCCAUGAUAUUCAAAGUCAUCUGUGACAGAUUUUCAGUUUCUAGUAAAGAAGCUGGCUACCUGAAACAACCAAUGGGGUAAGCGUAACACUUCUGGUGUUUUUCUGUCCUUUGUAUCGACACUAUGGCUAGCCCAAAGAAAAAUCAAAUCCACUUAUUCUAUCUAUAAAUAAGUUUCCGUUUAAAGCAGGAUCCCUUUUGUGGAAAAUAAAUUGAAAAGGAAACAAUUUAUCCUAUCCAAUUUUCCUCUAUCAUCCAGGGCAGAAGCUCUUUUCACUUCAACAGAAUGAAAAGGGAAUCUGAGAAAGAUUCUGGGAAGUCUCCUUACAGUUAGUAUUCUUUCCUACUGUGAAGGAUGAAUUCACCCAAACUUUUAGAAGUGCAGAAUGAAUAGGUAGUGAAGGAAGGUAAUUUCCCACUUUGAGGGAAAGAUGCUGGUGACUCAAAGAGUGAGAGAAAAGUAGAAUUGCAAUGAGAAAAUAAAACUGGAUGAGCAAGAAAACUAAAACAGGAAAAUAACCUUACUCAGCAUUUUCUUUGUGGUUCUUUUCUUUAACUUACAUAAAGUGUACUUUCCAAUGGCGUGGUCAUUCUGCCAUUAAACAAAUAGAUAUAAAGCUCACUGUGACCUAGGCACCAGGUAAAUGCUGAGGAUGCAACAAAGAGUAAGAUACCAAUGAGUCCAUCUAUAUUUGUAUGAGUCAGAAUUAGAUUCUAGGAAGGAAAGGAAAUGAAUAUCAAACACCCACUGUAUUAUUGUACUGAGGUUCUCCAAGCUCCCCAAACACCCUAGGCAAUGGGCAAAAGGAGGAGGGUGCUUAGUCUAUUCCUAAGGUAAUGAAGAGGGCAGUUUGGAAGACAGGACACCUGACUCUGGUCUGAAAGUCUCAAGACUGUGAUGGCCUGCUUUUCUGACAAAAGAGCUAAGCAAGCAGGCUGUGUUGGGAAAGGCCCGCAUCCAAAGUUUGGUGGUAUAGAUGCAUGAGCCAUAUAUGGACUCAGAUAAACAGGCUGGACUUACCCAAGAGGAACACUUGAAGGUUGUGGUUAUGUCAGCGGAGAGGUAGAUUAUUGGAAACCCCUGGAAACUAUCAAAGACAGACAAAGCUAGACGCGAUAAAAAUGGUAAGGACAAAUUUUAAUCAGUUAUAUAGUAUCGCAACAGGGGAAAGAGUCCUGUGUGAACUGAACUCAAUUUCAAUUUGUACAGAAGUGACUGGCAUUUUAAAGGGAGGAUAAAGGAGGGGUACUUGGGUGGCUCAGUCGGUUAAGUGGCCGACUUCGGCUCUGGUCAUGAUCUCGCGGUCUGUGAGUUCGAGCCCCGCGUAGGGCUCUGUGCUGACAGCUCAGAGCCUGGAGCCUGUUUCAGAUUCUGUGUCUCCCUCUCUCUGACCCUCCCCUGUUCAUGCUCUGUCUCUGUCUGUCUCAAAAAUAAAUAAACGUUAAAUAAAGGGAGGAUAAAGGAAAAGGGAGAGGGGAGAGCAGGGGCUCCAUACAAUCAGGGAAAUGAAAACUCCCAAAAAGUUUGGGGAGGGGGUGGGUUUCCUGUGUGUAACACAUUUGAGCUUGUUAAUUUGCCCUUAUCAAAGUUAAGAGUUCUGCCUUUCCACAGAGAGUGGGAGACAGGGGUUCCAUCUUUAAGUGUUGGCUAGAACACACAGUAAGUUCUUUUGGCAACAUUGAGUUUUCUCUGGUAGGCACUUUAAGUGCUAUUGUCAUCCUAGGGAUGUAGCUUUGGAAUGUUAGCAACUGUCAGUGUUUGUUUAAGUUUUUAUAGAUCAAGAUUGAAGCCUACUUUCUCCACCUCAGAGGCUCAGAGGAUCCUGGCUGGAGUUUGGUCAAGGAGAAACUCUUUGUGAAAACCACGAGCUAAGGAAGGCUGGUCACCUAGAGGAACCAGGGGGAGCCCACAAAUACAGUUCUUAAGCUAUCAAGCGAAUAAGUGAAGUAUUACUAUCACUCUUAUUUCAAAAAUGAGGCACCUGAGACACAAGUGACUUGACCAACAUCGUAAGAUGAAACAAUGGAGAAAGAAAAAGCAAACUGCAGAGAAGAAUAAGAAUGAAUAGUCAAAGGAGUAAAAGAAUCAGGAGAAGGUGGAGGGAGGACGAUCUGAGUCAAGAAAGGAAAGUACUUCAAGGAGGUCAAGAACAUCAGAUGCUGUGAUAAUCUGUGGGGCGAACUCACUUUAUGGAUCCCAUCUCUAGAGCCCCUCCUGAGGUAUUUAGAACAAAGAGAGAGAGACUGAAAAAAAGUGGCCAAAGAAGCAGAAAGGAAACAGAGACCAUGACUUUACAGAAGCCCAGGGAAGAGAUCUUCAAAAGAAUGACAUGGUUAAUAUGGUCAAAUGCCACAGAGCUCUAAUACAGACUUGCAAGAGUCCCCUAGAUUUGGCAAUAUGGAUUGGAAUCUCAGUGAGAGUCACUUCAGUGGAGUGAAAAGCCAAGAUUGCAACAGCCAAGGAAUAAAUGACAGGUGAAGAAGAGGAGAUAGUGAGCAGAUACCUUUUUGAAGGACGAGAGAGCCUGAAUGGAUGUGGAGUUGAGAAUGGGUGUAUUUUUUAAGAUGGGAAAUACUAGGGCCUGUUUAAAUGCUUUCAGGAGAGCGGUAAGUGUGAGGGCACGAGUGAAGAUACAAUAUUGAGAGAUGGUAGAACCAAAUGAGAUCAGAUUACAAGUAGAGAGAGUAGAUUUGGAUAAAAGGCAGGACAUCUUUCCCAUUUGGGCAAUGGAGAAAAGAAGGAGAAAGAGGUACAGACAAAAGUAAAUUUGUGCAUUGAGUAGAACAAAGUUGAAGGUGUUCCCAAAUGAUGAAUUCUAUUUUCCUUAAGGUGAAGUCUCUUACAGACAGUGAGAAGUGCUGGGAUAUAGAUUAAGAAAAGGAGGGAGAAGUUUCAAAUGAUUUCUGUAGAGUGGGAGUAAAGCUACCCAUACAACAGAAGGAUUGCCAUACAUCCACUGAGAACCUGUUUGGAGUGCAUGAAUUCAGAGUGGCCUGACUAUAAGUGUUUGUAUAAUUUUUUUUUUCCCAUCAUGGCUAACAGACUAGGUGUGAAGCACAAAGGCAGGUGGUUGUGUACUUCAGUCAUGGAGUUUUCCUGGGCAUGUGUGAUGGAAGGAUCAAAAAAGAAGGCAGUAGAGGAAACUGGAUGGAGAAGGGUAAAAGUGAUUU
Panthera uncia (snow leopard) is the source of this 5376-nucleotide long non-coding RNA. RefSeq lists it as uncharacterized. NCBI's taxonomy places the organism in Eukaryota, Metazoa, Chordata, Mammalia, Carnivora, Felidae. The record is from RefSeq and is a predicted model, not a curated record. The transcript is spliced from 5 exons.